GUGGCGAACGGGUGAGUAACACGUGGGUGAUCUGCCCUGCACUUCGGGAUAAGCCCGGGAAACUGGGUCUAAUACCGGAUAGUACUGCGCGGUGCAUGCCGUGUGGUGGAAAGAUUUAUCGGUGCAGGAUGGGCCCGCGGCCUAUCAGCUUGUUGGUGGGGUAAUGGCCUACCAAGGCGACGACGGGUAGCCGGCCUGAGAGGGCGACCGGCCACACUGGGACUGAGACACGGCCCAGACUCCUACGGGAGGCAGCAGUGGGGAAUAUUGCACAAUGGGCGCAAGCCUGAUGCAGCGACGCCGCGUGAGGGAUGACGGCCUUCGGGUUGUAAACCUCUUUCAGCAGGGACGAAGCGCAAGUGACGGUACCUGCAGAAGAAGCACCGGCCAACUACGUGCCAGCAGCCGCGGUAAUACGUAGGGUGCAAGCGUUGUCCGGAAUUACUGGGCGUAAAGAGCUCGUAGGCGGUUUGUCGCGUCGUCUGUGAAAACCAGCAGCUCAACUGUUGGCUUGCAGGCGAUACGGGCAGACUUGAGUAUUUCAGGGGAGACUGGAAUUCCUGGUGUAGCGGUGAAAUGCGCAGAUAUCAGGAGGAACACCGGUGGCGAAGGCGGGUCUCUGGGAAAUAACUGACGCUGAG
This 641-nucleotide ribosomal RNA is filed under the name Rhodococcus sp. I12A-02688. RNAcentral describes it as "bacterial SSU rRNA". It matches the Rfam family "Bacterial small subunit ribosomal RNA", at positions 95 to 750 of the family's 1533-position model. Lineage: Bacteria; Bacillati; Actinomycetota; Actinomycetes; Mycobacteriales; Nocardiaceae. The record is from RNAcentral.